Molecule: unclassified non-coding RNA, 265 nt
Filed under: Chaetothyriales sp.
Lineage: Eukaryota; Fungi; Ascomycota; Eurotiomycetes; Chaetothyriales
Description: partial contains 5.8S ribosomal RNA, internal transcribed spacer 2, and large subunit ribosomal RNA
Source: RNAcentral
CGCACAUUGCGCCCUUUGGCAUUCCGAAGGGCAUGCCUGUUCGAGCGUCAUUAUCCUCCCUCAAACCUCCCGGGUUUGGUGUUGGACCACGUUGGACCGUUCGCGGCCAACGGGUCUCAAAGACAAUGACGGCGUCCGUGGGACCCUCUUCGCACUGAGCUUUCCGGAGCACGCGUCGAGUUGCAAGGUCCCGGGGACCCGGCCUCCAAAAUUUAUUUUUUUUCAGGUUGACCUCGGAUCAGGUAGGAAUACCCGCUGAACUUAA